RNAcentral lists this long non-coding RNA (569 nucleotides) under Gallus gallus (chicken). RNAcentral's name for it is "long non-coding RNA NONGGAT004621". Lineage: Eukaryota; Metazoa; Chordata; Aves; Galliformes; Phasianidae. The record is from RNAcentral.
CCCGGCGUGCUGGGGCGCUGAGAGUGCUGUAAAAGAAGCGCCGAUUCAGAGUUACAGAAGUGGUGAGAAGAAAAAGGAGAGGUCAAGUAAUGCAGAGAGACAGAAACUCAGAUAUUAAACUUUCAGCAGAUGGAAUGAGUGCCCAUGUGCAAGCUUUGGUAGCAGAACAGCUUCAGGGGUUGGCCUUCAUGAGAAGAGACCUCCAUCUCCAACAGAGCCAGUGAUCUCUGAAAUACACCUGCUGCAGGAUAAAGAUCGAAAAGAAAUAUCUUCCUGGCAGCACUGCGUAUGGAAGGAAUAAGGAAAGUAACAAGGAGAAAGUUGCGCGCAUUUACAACAUGAAGAUGCUAUUCAAGGUCAGAAGAAGAAGGUCUUCUAUCUACGUAGAAGAAGGUGGAGACCAUAUAAACACUCAUUGAAAGAGACCCAUGGAGAAAACAGAAGUAGGGGAAAGCACUACAGCUGGAAAAUAAAUCUUGACAAUCCUCCAUUCUUGCUGUCAGACAACACCAGAAGCACACUGGCUUCAAGCAGUCCAGUAUCAAAGUGGAUUUGGAGAUUUGGCUAUU